This 682-nucleotide long non-coding RNA is filed under the name Cyanistes caeruleus (blue tit). RNAcentral describes it as "lncRNA (ENSCCEG00000010000.1)". The record is from RNAcentral. Lineage: Eukaryota; Metazoa; Chordata; Aves; Passeriformes; Paridae.
CUUCUCGGGGUAACGCCGCCCCUCUGCCCGAGCUCCGGUGCGCUCCAGGUGCGGGCUGCGGCUCGAAGGUGCGCCAAAGGCACGUUAUGGUUGCCUAAAGUUAAUUAAGAAGAAACCAGUUCUUCAGUUUCAAACCAUUUCUUGGAAGAAAUGUUGCAGAACAAGAAGGAAGACAUUGUUCUGGAAGGGACCCACAUGCUGUCAUUCAUGGCCCAAGGUGUUUUUUACCCUUCAUUUACAGCAUGUCAUAUACAACUACAGAAGCCUCAGUCUGUAUUUUAGGGGUGAAGGAGCCGUGCAUCUAAAAGACACAGCUUGAUGGAGAAGAAGAGAAAGUAAGAGAGCAGGAGACAGUGACCUUCAAGGAGUUUACAUGAAGCAGAUGUUGUGAUGCAAUGCAGUGGAUGAGCUCUCGCAGAAAACUCAAGAAAUCCAAAGCCAGAUUUCUUACAGAUAUUUAUAAACAAGCCACAACAAGACUCAUAAGGUAUCCAAAUUAAACCUAUGUAUCCCAAUAUUAAGAAAUAAUAACUAUUUGACUGUUGGAAUGAUGACUUUGAAGAUUGUACAGAAAAGUCAUAUUCAAAAUAUAAUUAAAUGCUCUGAACUGAACUGAAGGUGAUAAAGGCUGUAAAUUACAUAAUUAUCUGACAUAGUAGAUUAUCAAUUUUGAUGAUACCUU